GUAAAAGCAAUGAUGGGAUGAGUAAAUCCCUUAAAGCCCUUUCAGAGAGCGGGGGGAGGUGAAAGCCCGCAGGGAUAAAAGGAUUGAACAUGGCCCCAGAGCUACCGAUUCGAAGGGAUUGCCCAUUAGGGUCGGUCGGAAAAGCACCGUUACAGGCUUAUUAGUGCCUAAGGCACUAACUAAGGCUGUUAUCGUAAGGUGACAGUAAAUUAGGGUGGUACCGCGGGUAACAACCUCGCCCCUGCA
Molecule: non-coding RNA, 246 nt
Filed under: Desulforamulus reducens
Lineage: Bacteria; Bacillati; Bacillota; Clostridia; Eubacteriales; Peptococcaceae
Description: Desulfotomaculum reducens T-box sequence
Rfam family: T-box leader
About the family: Uncharged tRNA acts as the effector for transcription antitermination of genes in the T-box leader family. T-boxes are found upstream of many aminoacyl-tRNA synthetase genes and some amino acid biosynthetic genes usually in Gram-positive bacteria.
Source: RNAcentral